This 592-nucleotide ribosomal RNA is filed under the name fungal endophyte. RNAcentral describes it as "eukaryotic LSU rRNA". The stretch from base 182 to 335 matches the Rfam family "5.8S ribosomal RNA". Lineage: Eukaryota; Fungi. The record is from RNAcentral.
CAUUAAAGAGUUCUAUAACUCCCAAACCCAUGUGAACAUACCUAACGUUGCCUCGGCAGGUCGCACCUACCUUGUAGCACCUUACCCUGUAAGGCCUACCCGGGAGGUGCGGGUAAGCCUGCCGGCGGCCCACCAAACUCUGUUUGAUAUUGAAUUCUGAACCUAUAACUAAAUAAGUUAAAACUUUCAACAACGGAUCUCUUGGUUCUGGCAUCGAUGAAGAACGCAGCGAAAUGCGAUAAGUAAUGUGAAUUGCAGAAUUCAGUGAAUCAUCGAAUCUUUGAACGCAUAUUGCGCCCAUUAGUAUUCUAGUGGGCAGGACCGUUCGAGCGUCAUUUCAACCCUUAAGCCUUCGUUGCUUAGUGUUGGGAGCCUACGGCAACGUAGCUCCUCAAAGUUAGUGGCGGAGUUGGUUCACACUCUAGACGUAGUAAUUUUUUAUCUCGCCUAUUAGUUGGACUAAUCCCCUGCCGUAAAACCCCCAAUUUAUCAAGGUUGACCUCGAAUCGGUUCAGACAAACUCGCUAAAUUGAAGCAUCUUAGUCAGCGAAGGAAAAGAAACCAACAGGGAUUGCCCUAGUAACGGCGAGUG